Molecule: long non-coding RNA, 1058 nt
Organism: Coturnix japonica (Japanese quail)
Lineage: Eukaryota; Metazoa; Chordata; Aves; Galliformes; Phasianidae
Source: Ensembl
UUCGCUUUUUUCUUGGUUUUUCCUCCGUUCUAAAACUCGUCUUUUCUUGGUUUCCUUUGCUCUAUCAGCGGCUUCCUUGGUUUUCCUACGCUCUAGGACGUGAACACCAACUUUCUUGUUUUCCUCCUCUCUAACCCUGCUUUUAAUUGUUUUCUCUGCUCUAACUUCACUUUUCUUGUUUUCCUCUGCUCUACUCCGAUUUUCAGAUAUUUUCCUCCGCUCUAACCCCGCCUUUUUCUUGGUUUUCCUCCCGCUCUAUACUGGCGUUUUCUUGUUUUCCUCCGCUCUAACUUCAACUUUUUUCUUGGUUUUCCUCUGCUCUAGCCCCGAUUUUCCCUGAUUGGUUCCUCCGCUCUAACCCCGGCUUUUUCUUGGUUUUGCCUCCGGCUCGUAACUGCGCUUCUUCUUGGUUUCCUCGCUCUUAACUUCGCUUUUCUUGGUUUUCCUUUGCUCUACACCGCUAUUCCUUGGGUUUUCGCUACGCUCUAGAACACCACUUUUCUUGGUUUUCCUUCCCGCACUAACCCUGCUUUUAAUUGGUUUUCCACCGCCUCUAACCCCGCUUUUGUUGGUUUUUCCUCAUGCUCGUAAACGCCCGAUUUUCUUGGAAUUUCCUCCACUAUAACCUGCUUUUUUGUUUUCCUCCGCUCUCACCCUGCUUUCUUGGUUUUCAUCCGGUUAACUUUGCUUUUCUUGGUUUUCCCUUUGCUCUAACCCUGCUUUUCUUGGUUUUCCUCCGCUCUAACUUCAUUUUUUCUUGGUUUUCCGUCCUUUUCAACCCGCUUUUUCUUGGUUUUCCUCCGCUCUAAUUCCCGCUUCUCUUGGUUUUCUCCUCCACUCUAACCGCGCUAUUCUUUGGUUUUUUCUCCACUCAAACGGGCAUGCUUUUCUUGAUGCGUGCUUGCUCUAAGCGCUUUUUCUUUGUUUCCCCUCUCUAACUAUUUUUCUUGGUUUUCCUACGCUCUAACAAUCCCACUUUUCUUGGUUUUCAUCCGCAAUGAAACAACGUUUUUUCUCCCUUGGUUUUCGCUCCGCUCUAACUUGCAAUUUCCUAGUUU